UAGAUGCGAGAGUAGAGCAUAUCAAUAAGCGGAGGAAAAGAAACUAACAAGGAUUCCCUUAGUAACGGCGAGUGAAGCGGGAAGAGCUCAAAUUUGAAAUCUUCAAGGUUCUACCUUGACGAAUUGUAGUUUAAAGAAGUGUUUUCUGUUAGAUGAGUAGCAAAAGUUCCUUGGAAUGGGACAUCAUAGAGGGUGAGAAUCCCGUAUUUGGUUAUUCAUUCUAGCUUUGUGAUACACUUUCAAAGAGUCGGAUUGUUUGGGAAUGCAGUCCAAAAUGGGUGGUAAAUUUCAUCUAAAGCUAAAUAUUGGCGAGAGACCGAUAGCGAACAAGUACCGUGAGGGAAAGAUGAAAAGAACUUUGAAAAGAGAGUUAAACAGUACGUGAAAUUGUCAAAAGGGAAGCGUUUGACACCAGUGUUGUUUUUCCGAAAAUCAAUUACGAAUGGCUUGAUUUUGUGUUGUAUUGACCUUAUCAGCUUUCUGCACUUUUUUUCGAGUCUUUCUUAAUGCACUUUUCGGUUAACAAGUCAACAUCAAUUUCUUUUGUUGUAAAAGAGUAUUCGGAAGGUGGCUUUCUUUUCGGAGAAAGUGUUUAUAGCCCUAUACUUCUACAAUCGGAGAGAUUGAGGUCUGCAGCGUAGAUCCUUCGGGGUUAGAUACACUUUGUGCUAAGUUGUAGCUUUUCAUAGACAACUUGUUGACUAUGUUUAGUCAUGCGGCUUACUCGCUUAUGCUAUUUUACCUACGCUUAGGAUGUUGAGCGCAUGUCUCUCUCU
Molecule: ribosomal RNA, 776 nt
Filed under: uncultured Neocallimastigales
Lineage: Eukaryota; Fungi; Neocallimastigomycota; Neocallimastigomycetes; Neocallimastigales
Description: partial large subunit ribosomal RNA
Rfam family: Eukaryotic large subunit ribosomal RNA
Source: RNAcentral